RNAcentral lists this ribosomal RNA (492 nucleotides) under uncultured bacterium. RNAcentral describes it as "partial 16S ribosomal RNA". It matches the Rfam family "Bacterial small subunit ribosomal RNA", at positions 29 to 507 of the family's 1533-position model. The record is from RNAcentral.
AGUGAACGCUGGCGGUAGGCCUAACACAUGCAAGUCGAACGGCAGCACAGUAAGAGCUUGCUCUUACGGGUGGCGAGUGGCGGACGGGUGAGGAAUACAUCGGAAUCUACUUUUUCGUGGGGGAUAACGUAGGGAAACUUACGCUAAUACCGCAUACGACCUACGGGUGAAAGCAGGGGAUCUUCGGACCUUGCGCGAUUGAAUGAGCCGAUGUCGGAUUAGCUAGUUGGCGGGGUAAAGGCCCACCAAGGCGACGAUCCGUAGCUGGUCUGAGAGGAUGAUCAGCCCCACUGGAACUGAGACACGGUCUAGACUCCUACGGGAGGCAGCAGUGGGGAAUAUUGGACAAUGGGCGCAAGCCUGAUCCAGCCAUACCGCGUGGGUGAAGAAGGCCUUCGGGUUGUAAAGCCCUUUUGUUGGGAAAGAAAAGCAGCAGGUUAAUACCCCGCUGUUCUGACGGUACCCAAAGAAUAAGCACCGGCUAACUUCGUG